This 253-nucleotide ribosomal RNA is filed under the name uncultured bacterium. RNAcentral's name for it is "partial 16S ribosomal RNA". It matches the Rfam family "Bacterial small subunit ribosomal RNA", at positions 524 to 776 of the family's 1533-position model. The record is from RNAcentral.
UACAGAGGGUGCGAGCGUUAAUCGGAAUUACUGGGCGUAAAGCGCACGUAGGCGGCUUUGCAAGUUAGAGGUGAAAGCCCGGGGCUCAACUCCGGAAUUGCCUUUAAAACUGCAUCGCUAGAAUUGUGGAGAGGUAAGUGGAAUUCCGAGUGUAGAGGUGAAAUUCGUAGAUAUUCGGAAGAACACCAGUGGCGAAGGCGACUUACUGGACACAUAUUGACGCUGAGGUGCGAAAGCGUGGGGAGCAAACAGG